GGAGACCCCAAGAACACCCCCACACCUGACUGACCAGGCCGCUUGCGCUGCAGAGGAGGCGGACACAGCUGGAAGGGACAGGAUUUAUGUUGCAUACUUGAACUACACAGGACAAGGAAACAUCUGUGUUACUCCCUGCUGGAGCCCCUGCAGCAAGCUAGCACCUGGCAAGUACUCGUGGUGGAGAGAUGAGAAAAUUCAGAGGGAAGUGACCUGUCCCAGGUUCUGGAGGGAGUUAACAGAACUCUGAGACAUCUCAGACCAACUGCCUUCCCCAGAGACCCACUAUGGGAACAGUUCCAGAGAAGAAACAAGAUCAAAUACCCUGAAAGGUACAUGACCUGGACGGAGUUCCUAACU
This is a long non-coding RNA of Sciurus carolinensis (gray squirrel), 360 nucleotides long. RefSeq lists it as uncharacterized. Lineage: Eukaryota; Metazoa; Chordata; Mammalia; Rodentia; Sciuridae. The transcript has 3 exons. The record is from RefSeq and is a predicted model, not a curated record.